UGCAGCCGCGGUAAUACGGAGGGUGCAAGCGUUAAUCGGAAUUACUGGGCGUAAAGGGUGCGUAGGUGGUUGAAUAAGUUAUCUGUGAAAUCCCUGGGCUCAACCUGGGAAGGUCAGAUAAAACUGUUUGACUCGAGUAUGGGAGAGGGUAGUGGAAUUUCCGGUGUAGCGGUGAAAUGCGUACAGAUCGGAAGGAACACCAGUGGCGAAGGCGGCUACCUGGCCUGAUACUGACACUGACGCACGAAAGCGUGGGGAGCAAACAGGAUUAAAUACCCUGGUAGUCCACGCCGUACACGAUGUCAACUAGCUGUUGGAUA
RNAcentral lists this ribosomal RNA (320 nucleotides) under uncultured Legionella sp. RNAcentral's name for it is "bacterial SSU rRNA". It matches the Rfam family "Bacterial small subunit ribosomal RNA", at positions 510 to 829 of the family's 1533-position model. Lineage: Bacteria; Pseudomonadati; Pseudomonadota; Gammaproteobacteria; Legionellales; Legionellaceae. The record is from RNAcentral.